AUGAACGCUGGCGGCGUGCCUAAUACAUGCAAGUCGAGCGAACAGACGAGGAGCUUGCUCCUCUGACGUUAGCGGCGGACGGGUGAGUAACACGUGGAUAACCUACCUAUAAGACUGGGAUAACUUCGGGAAACCGGAGCUAAUACCGGAUAAUAUAUUGAACCGCAUGGUUCAAUAGUGAAAGACGGUUUUGCUGUCACUUAUAGAUGGAUCCGCGCCGCAUUAGCUAGUUGGUAAGGUAACGGCUUACCAAGGCGACGAUGCGUAGCCGACCUGAGAGGGUGAUCGGCCACACUGGAACUGAGACACGGUCCAGACUCCUACGGGAGGCAGCAGUAGGGAAUCUUCCGCAAUGGGCGAAAGCCUGACGGAGCAACGCCGCGUGAGUGAUGAAGGCCUUCGGAUCGUAAAACUCUGUUAUUAGGGAAGAACAAAUGUGUAAGUAACUAUGCACGUCUUGACGGUACCUAAUCAGAAAGCCACGGCUAACUACGUG
RNAcentral lists this ribosomal RNA (496 nucleotides) under uncultured bacterium. RNAcentral's name for it is "partial 16S ribosomal RNA". It matches the Rfam family "Bacterial small subunit ribosomal RNA", at positions 29 to 507 of the family's 1533-position model. The record is from RNAcentral.